UUGCUCUUCAACGAGGAAUUCCUAGUAAGCGCAAGUCAUCAGCUUGCGUUGAUUACGUCCCUGCCCUUUGUACACACCGCCCGUCGCUACUACCGAUUGAAUGGCUUAGUGAGGCUUUCGGACUGGCCUGCGGAGGUUGGAAACGACCACCGUGGGCCGGAAAGUUAGUCAAACUUGGUCAUUUAGAGGAAGUAAAAGUCGUAACAAGGUUUCCGUAGGUGAACCUGCGGAAGGAUCAUUAUAGUAUAUGGAAUUUAUCAAUUCUAUACACCCCACCUGUGUAUCUUGCAACUGUUGCUUCCAUGGGACCUGGAACAAGCUUCCACAUCGGCCCUGACGGCUGGUGAGCGCCCAUGGGAGGAGUCAUGAAAACUCUUCUUUGAAGUGUAGUUAGUCUGAUAAUGUUAUAAUAAACGUUAAAACUUUCAACAACGGAUCUCUUGGUUCUCGCAUCGAUGAAGAACGCAGCGAAAUGCGAUAAGUAGUGUGAAUUGCAGAAUUCAGUGAAUCAUCGAAUCUUUGAACGCACAUUGCGCCUUCUGGUAUUCCGGGAGGCAUGCCUGUUCGAGCGUCAUCAAAAACCCUCAAUCUCUGAUUUUUACAGUCAAAGGUUGGUCUUGCCUUGGAGGCUUCGGCUUCCUCUGCGAAAUCAAAUGGCGAAAAGCCACGCAUCCAGAGCGUAGUAAAUUACACCUCGCAAUGGGAACGUGAGCGCUUUGGCCCCAAACCCCCAAUAUUCCAAGUUUUUGACCUCGGAUCAGGUAGGGAUACCCGCUGAACUUAAGCAUAUCAAUAAGCGGAGGA
Molecule: ribosomal RNA, 804 nt
Filed under: uncultured fungus
Lineage: Eukaryota; Fungi
Description: eukaryotic LSU rRNA
Rfam family: Eukaryotic small subunit ribosomal RNA (bases 1-241)
Source: RNAcentral